Non-coding RNA from Cladorrhinum sp. PSN259, 94 nucleotides. Lineage: Eukaryota; Fungi; Ascomycota; Sordariomycetes; Sordariales; Podosporaceae. The record is from the annotation of a GenBank genome assembly.
GGUUGUAUAGUGUAGCGGUUAUCACUCCGGAUUCUGAUGGAUAUUUUCAGAAAAAAAUAUUCCGGCAACCCCGGUUCGAUUCCGGGUACGACCU